Molecule: unclassified non-coding RNA, 338 nt
Filed under: soil metagenome
Description: partial contains 5.8S ribosomal RNA, internal transcribed spacer 2, and large subunit ribosomal RNA
Rfam family: 5.8S ribosomal RNA (bases 1-120)
Source: RNAcentral
GAUGAAGAACGUAGCGAAAUGCGAUAAGUAAUGCGAAUUGCAGAAUUCCGUGAGUCAUCGAAUCUUUGAACGCACAUUGCGCCCUUUGGCAUUCCGAAGGGCAUGCCUGUUCGAGCGUCAUUUAUCAACCCUCAAGCCCGGCUUGCGGUUGGGUCCCGCCGUGGGCGACCACGGCGGACCCGAAAGGUAAUGGCGGUGCCCGUGGGGCCCUGGACGCAGCGAGCUUCUCGGCACGCGUCCCGGCGGUCCCCGGCGCCGUCUCCACCAAUCCACCACGCAGAUUGACCUCGGAUCAGGUAGGGAUACCCGCUGAACUUAAGCAUAUCAAAAGCGGAGGA